RNAcentral lists this ribosomal RNA (253 nucleotides) under uncultured bacterium. Its description in RNAcentral is "partial 16S ribosomal RNA". It matches the Rfam family "Bacterial small subunit ribosomal RNA", at positions 524 to 776 of the family's 1533-position model. The record is from RNAcentral.
UACGGGGGGGGCAAGCGUUGUUCGGAAUUACUGGGCGUAAAGGGCUCGUAGGUUGCCAACUAAGUCAGACGUGAAAUCCCUCGGCUUAACCGGGGAACUGCGUCUGAUACUGGAUGGCUUGAGUUCGGGAGAGGGAUGCGGAAUUCCAGGUGUAGCGGUGAAAUGCGUAGAUAUCGGGAGGAAUACCAGUGGCGAAGGCGGCUUCCUGGCCUGUUCUUGACGCUGAGGCGCGAAAGCUGGGGGAGCAAACGGG